GGGUUGUGAGGUUAAGCGACUAAGCGUACACGGUGGAUGCCCUGGCAGUCAGAGGCGAUGAAGGACGUGCUAAUCUGCGAUAAGCGUCGGUAAGGUGAUAUGAACCGUUAUAACCGGCGAUUUCCGAAUGGGGAAACCCAGUGUGAUUCGUCACACUAUCAUUAACUGAAUCCAUAGGUUAAUGAGGCGAACCGGGGGAACUGAAACAUCUAAGUACCCCGAGGAAAAGAAAUCAACCGAGAUUCCCCCAGUAGCGGCGAGCGAACGGGGAGGAGCCCAGAGCCUGAAUCAGUGUGUGUGUUAGUGGAAGCGUCUGGAAAGGCGCGCGAUACAGGGUGACAGCCCCGUACACAAAAAUGCACAUGCUGUGAGCUCGAUGAGUAGGGCGGGACACGUGGUAUCCUGUCUGAAUAUGGGGGGACCAUCCUCCAAGGCUAAAUACUCCUGACUGACCGAUAGUGAACCAGUACCGUGAGGGAAAGGCGAAAAGAACCCCGGCGAGGGGAGUGAAAAAGAACCUGAAACCGUGUACGUACAAGCAGUGGGAGCACAGAGCAAUCUGUGUGACUGCGUACCUUUUGUAUAAUGGGUCAGCGACUUAUAUUCUGUAGCAAGGUUAACCGAAUAGGGGAGCCGAAGGGAAACCGAGUCUUAACUGGGCGUUAAGUUGCAGGGUAUAGACCCGAAACCCGGUGAUCUAGCCAUGGGCAGGUUGAAGGUUGGGUAACACUAACUGGAGGACCGAACCGACUAAUGUUGAAAAAUUAGCGGAUGACUUGUGGCUGGGGGUGAAAGGCCAAUCAAACCGGGAGAUAGCUGGUUCUCCCCGAAAGCUAUUUAGGUAGCGCCUCGUGAAUUCAUCUCCGGGGGUAGAGCACUGUUUCGGCAAGGGGGUCAUCCCGACUUACCAACCCGAUGCAAACUGCGAAUACCGGAGAAUGUUAUCACGGGAGACACACGGCGGGUGCUAACGUCCGUCGUGAAGAGGGAAACAACCCAGACCGCCAGCUAAGGUCCCAAAGUCAUGGUUAAGUGGGAAACGAUGUGGGAAGGCCCAGACAGCCAGGAUGUUGGCUUAGAAGCAGCCAUCAUUUAAAGAAAGCGUAAUAGCUCACUGGUCGAGUCGGCCUGCGCGGAAGAUGUAACGGGGCUAAACCAUGCACCGAAGCUGCGGCAGCGACGCUUAUGCGUUGUUGGGUAGGGGAGCGUUCUGUAAGCCUGCGAAGGUGUGCUGUGAGGCAUGCUGGAGGUAUCAGAAGUGCGAAUGCUGACAUAAGUAACGAUAAAGCGGGUGAAAAGCCCGCUCGCCGGAAGACCAAGGGUUCCUGUCCAACGUUAAUCGGGGCAGGGUGAGUCGACCCCUAAGGCGAGGCCGAAAGGCGUAGUCGAUGGGAAACAGGUUAAUAUUCCUGUACUUGGUGUUACUGCGAAGGGGGGACGGAGAAGGCUAUGUUGGCCGGGCGACGGUUGUCCCGGUUUAAGCGUGUAGGCUGGUUUUCCAGGCAAAUCCGGAAAAUCAAGGCUGAGGCGUGAUGACGAGGCACUACGGUGCUGAAGCAACAAAUGCCAUGCUUCCAGGAAAAGCCUCUAAGCAUCAGGUAACAUCAAAUCGUACCCCAAACCGACACAGGUGGUCAGGUAGAGAAUACCAAGGCGCUUGAGAGAACUCGGGUGAAGGAACUAGGCAAAAUGGUGCCGUAACUUCGGGAGAAGGCACGCUGAUAUGUAGGUGAAGCGACUUGCUCGUGGAGCUGAAAUCAGUCGAAGAUACCAGCUGGCUGCAACUGUUUAUUAAAAACACAGCACUGUGCAAACACGAAAGUGGACGUAUACGGUGUGACGCCUGCCCGGUGCCGGAAGGUUAAUUGAUGGGGUCAGCGCAAGCGAAGCUCUUGAUCGAAGCCCCGGUAAACGGCGGCCGUAACUAUAACGGUCCUAAGGUAGCGAAAUUCCUUGUCGGGUAAGUUCCGACCUGCACGAAUGGCGUAAUGAUGGCCAGGCUGUCUCCACCCGAGACUCAGUGAAAUUGAACUCGCUGUGAAGAUGCAGUGUACCCGCGGCAAGACGGAAAGACCCCGUGAACCUUUACUAUAGCUUGACACUGAACAUUGAGCCUUGAUGUGUAGGAUAGGUGGGAGGCUUUGAAGUGUGGACGCCAGUCUGCAUGGAGCCGACCUUGAAAUACCACCCUUUAAUGUUUGAUGUUCUAACGUUGACCCGUAAUCCGGGUUGCGGACAGUGUCUGGUGGGUAGUUUGACUGGGGCGGUCUCCUCCUAAAGAGUAACGGAGGAGCACGAAGGUUGGCUAAUCCUGGUCGGACAUCAGGAGGUUAGUGCAAUGGCAUAAGCCAGCUUGACUGCGAGCGUGACGGCGCGAGCAGGUGCGAAAGCAGGUCAUAGUGAUCCGGUGGUUCUGAAUGGAAGGGCCAUCGCUCAACGGAUAAAAGGUACUCCGGGGAUAACAGGCUGAUACCGCCCAAGAGUUCAUAUCGACGGCGGUGUUUGGCACCUCGAUGUCGGCUCAUCACAUCCUGGGGCUGAAGUAGGUCCCAAGGGUAUGGCUGUUCGCCAUUUAAAGUGGUACGCGAGCUGGGUUUAGAACGUCGUGAGACAGUUCGGUCCCUAUCUGCCGUGGGCGCUGGAGAACUGAGGGGGGCUGCUCCUAGUACGAGAGGACCGGAGUGGACGCAUCACUGGUGUUCGGGUUGUCAUGCCAAUGGCACUGCCCGGUAGCUAAAUGCGGAAGAGAUAAGUGCUGAAAGCAUCUAAGCACGAAACUUGCCCCGAGAUGAGUUCUCCCUGACUCCUUGAGAGUCCUGAAGGAACGUUGAAGACGACGACGUUGAU
This 2847-nucleotide ribosomal RNA is filed under the name Escherichia coli. RNAcentral's name for it is "partial 23S ribosomal RNA". It matches the Rfam family "Bacterial large subunit ribosomal RNA". Lineage: Bacteria; Pseudomonadati; Pseudomonadota; Gammaproteobacteria; Enterobacterales; Enterobacteriaceae. The record is from RNAcentral.